UCUAGCCAGGUUUGAGUCAGUUAGAAACUCGACUGGAAUUGACCAGCCUUCUAGUCUUAGUAAUGAAAGACAAGAGCCCUUACAGCAAUGUCUAAAUUGUUCUUCCACGGCACUGUUUCUCCCUGGUGCAGGACUGGAUUUUAAUGAAUCUUAAAGGACUGAGGAUCUGCGUAAAGAUUUGCAAAUAAGCUAAGGCUAGUAGGACAGCAUUAUGCUUGAAGUGACAGAAAACACCAGACUGCUGAAAGGCUGUGGAGGGCAGGAGUCCUGUUAGUUCAUUACAUUCCCAACAUAGAAAUGCAUCUCUCACAUCCAGCCGGCUAACAGUGAGGUUCGUUGGAGCCAGGACCAAUAAAUCUAGUCACAGCACGGGUUAUCGUCACUGUGGCCACUGUGCAACAGAGGUCUAGAGAAAUUGAGGGGGAACAAAUGUGCCAACAACCCCAGGACCAGCAGCAACCUCCAGCUGCUGCUGAACGGCCUCCAUAUGAAGAAGUCACAGUUGUAGGUCUCUUUAGAUGCAGAGGAAGCAGAGGAGGGUCAGAGUCUAUUGCCCUCAAUGCUAUUUCCUCCAGAUGACUGAGCCACAGAGCCAGUGCAGACUGCAGAUGUCCUGGGAUACUGUUACAGAACUGAGUAUUCUCCUGAAACAGGACUUGUGAUCUGAAGGAUGGAUAGCCAUCCUGUCCUGGCGGCCACUAAGGUGACAGCUGCACUAAAUUCUUACGGAAUUUGCUGCUUCCAAGGAUCCAUUGGGGACCUGUGUGAAAUCAUAGUCCUUAACCCUCAAAUGUUUCAAAGCCAAUGAAAUUUGUGCAGUUGUACCUCUUCAUCUUGUUUACCUGUAUAAGGUCAGUGCUACAGCCUGAGGAGUAGGCUUUGCCAAAACAGUUGCUUGUCUCUAUGUGCAGUUUGCAAUGGAAUGUUGGGAGAGCCAUAUACUGCUGUGGUACACUUUACCAAUAGAAGAGGCUUCCAUUUAGUAAAUGUAUGUCAUCUGUGAUCAUCAAUACCACAUCUUAGAGGUCUGCGCCAAAUACCACUGAAGCUGCCAUUAUACCUAUAUCCUGACAUCCCUCAUGCCAAACUUCAUUUCAAGAACUGAAUGUCUUUCAAGAAGAGACAAGGGCUUUUCUCUGUAACCUUGGCUGAUGACAGCAUUGUGCAACCAGAGAUCAAGUGUAGAUAUAAUGCAGGCCAUACUUCCUCCAGGAACAUCGUGGAACAGACGAUAGGCCUCCUGAAGAUGAGAAUCGGUCCGCAGGUGCCUUGUAGAGCAUAAUCCUAGCAUGCUGGGCUCUGCACAACUAGAACAGGCAACAAGGGCAUAUAAUGGACACCAAAGAGCAGCAGUUAUCCAAACAGGAAGAUGAGGACAAUGAGCAGGACAGUGUCAGCUUCAGUGUGACACAGCUUGAUGUGGCAAGUCAGAUAGGACUAAAUCAACACCCACUUCCAAUGGAUGCGGGUUGGGUGAAGUCAUCUUUCAUUGACUGUAAAUUUGUUGUCAUUUCAAAGGCAAGCAGGCACAUUUUAUUCCUAGAAGUGAAUGCAGCUCUUCUUGUUUUG
Long non-coding RNA from Rhincodon typus (whale shark), 1569 nucleotides. RefSeq lists it as uncharacterized. NCBI's taxonomy places the organism in Eukaryota, Metazoa, Chordata, Chondrichthyes, Orectolobiformes, Rhincodontidae. The transcript is spliced from 3 exons. The record is from RefSeq and is a predicted model, not a curated record.